RNAcentral lists this unclassified non-coding RNA (1756 nucleotides) under Hevea brasiliensis (rubber tree). Lineage: Eukaryota; Viridiplantae; Streptophyta; Magnoliopsida; Malpighiales; Euphorbiaceae. The record is from RNAcentral.
GGAGAGAGGAAGCUAAACAAUGACUUGCAAAUCACAAAGAAUAUGAGAAAUCCAUAACAAUUCACAAACUGUUGAAGCUGAGGCUCUAUACUCAGCUUCUGCAGAUGAUUUGGAGACUGUAUUUUGCUUUUUGGUCUUCCAAGAGAUAAGAGAAUUACCAAGAAAGAUGCAAAAACCAGUAAGGGAUUUUCUAGAAAACACACAUGAUACCCAAUCAGCAUCACAAUAUGCUGAUAACCUCAAAUCACAAUCUGUUGAAAAAUAUAAUCCUCUAGAUGGACAGGAUUUUAAGUAUCUUAAAACAUGCAUAGCUGCAUCCAUGUGAGGCUUCCUAGGCACUGACAUAAACUGAGAUAAAUGUUGAACUGCAUAAUUGAUGUCAGGUCUAGUUAUAUUAAUAUACAAUAGCCUCCCAAUAAGUCUUCUAUAAGAAUCUGGUUCAGAUAAUAAGUCACCAGAAUCUGUAGACAAUUGCAGACCUUUAGGCAAAGGAAACAAAGCUGGUUUUGCAUUUGUCAUACCUGAAUCUGCUAACACAUCAAGUAUAAAUUUCCUUUGACUAAGAACUAUGCCAGAACCUGACCGUGCCACUUCCAAUCCCAGAAAGUACUUCAUAAAUCCCAAGUCUUUAAUUGUGAACUUGGAAUGAAAAGCCUGUUUAACAGUAGCAAUAGCUUCUGAACUAGUGCCAGUAAUUAUAACAUCAUCUACAUACACUAAAAGAGCCAUAAAUUGGUUGGAAUAUGUUUUUGUAAAAAGACAAUGAUCAUUCUUGGACUGAAGAAAUCUAAGAGAGUGAAGAAAACUAGUAAAUUCCAGGUUCCAUUGUCUAGAAGCCUGCUUCAAUCAAUACAAAGAUCUUUUUAAAAGACAGACUUAACCAGGUUUAGCUUUUUCAUACCCCUGUGGUGGAUGCAUAUAUACCUCUUCAUCCAAGUAUCCAUGGAAGAAUGCAUUAUUUAUAUCUAACUGAUAAAUCGGCUAUCUUUUAAUAGUUGCUAAUACAAUGAAUAUUCUCACUGUAACUAGUUUAGCUACAGGAGAAAACCUGUCCUUGUAAUCAAGUCCUUCUACUUGAUUAUAUCCUUUAGCAACUAAUCUAGCCUUGAACCUCUCUAUUUCACCAUUAGGCUUACACUUCACCUUAUAUACCCACUUAGACCCAAUAGCCUUUUUCCCUUUUGGCAAAGGUGUUAACAUCCAAGUUUCAUUCCUUUCUAAAGCAAAUAGCUCUUGCUGCAUAGCUUGAAUACAAUUAAUGUCUGUUGAAGCUUGUGAAAAAGUUGUAGGUUCAUGAAUAGUACACAUUAUGAACAAAUGAAGAAUGAGAAGGUGUAAAAAAAAUAACAGGGUUGAGAAAAUACCUGAUUUGUUGGCUGAGCAAGUGAUAGCUAGUGAAGGAGAGUCUGCAGAAGUUAGAUUAACAAAAUCCUUUAACCAUGCUGGUUUAGAAACUGUUCUAGUUGAUAUUCUUAGAGGAGGAUGAGGUGAAGGUAAAGAAAGAGAAGAUGAGUCAUUAGAAAGAGGUAGAGAAGAUAAAGAAGGUAAAGAAUUAAGUGGGGAAUGAUGAGAAUCAUUAUCAUUGGUAGUAAUAUCUGUGAUAGUUGAUAAAGGCUCAUUUGCAACAUUAUCAAUUGGUUUGGGAAGAACAACAGAAUCAGAAAAAAUAACAGGAGAAGAAAAAACAUAAUGAAAGGGAAAAUGAUUUUCCUAAAAUUUGACAUCUCUACUUACCAGUGUUAUCAAGGCGAAAGGC